UAUUUUAUUUCUUUAGACACAGCAUUAUUUAUACAGCAAAAAAUGACAUUUUAUUUUUCGUGCUCAAUCUGGCAACAUUGACCGUGCGACCAUUUUCCGUUGUUAGCAGCUCGGCGUUAUGUCGGCUCUUACAAUUUUUCUGUUUUUUAAUAGAAAAAGUGAUUUUUCUGCACAGUACUUGAGUGUAUUCUGUUCCUUAAGGCUUGUUUAACCUCCUGAAAAUGAGCGUUAUUAAUAAUAUACACACCAGCACAUAAAGACCACCAAAAAGAAGACACCGGAAUCAAUCCGUAUAUAAUCCUGAUGUUUGGCCAUUAUUCUGGUUUACCAGAUUAGUCUUCCAUUAUCUGAUUAAAAAUUUUGUACAACAAAUCGAUGGAUGUAUACAGUUCCAGGGCAGUACAUUUAUCCUUUUCACGAAUAUUACCAACAAUCGCAUCAGGACUAAUAAGUAUAAAGAAAAUUUUAUUUCUUUUGGGUAAAUAUAUUUAUACAGGUUUUUAAUGUUCAUCAGUGGAUUUCAUGAUUUCUAAAUUUAAUUAAGUACGAAAAAAAUCCAACCAGUCUCUGAUUUACAUUUUUAUGGUUCCUUAUUAUCAUUGACAAAUUCAGACCAUUUAUUCUUAAUUUGAGCCAAUUUUUGGCUUUUGGCUACUUCUUAUUUUCUUCUGGCAGAAUACCAUCUACUUAAAAAUUCAAUUCAUGUUGUUUUUGGUUUACUUUCAUUUCCCUAUAAUACCUUGACUGCCAUAUUUUCUUGAUUGCGGAAAUAAUAUCACCACUUAUCCAUUCUAUAAAAUAUUCAAUUGACUGUAUAAGUUUUACUUUCAUUUCUCUAUUAAAGCUUGCCUCGCAUAUCUUGAUUGUGGGAAAAUAUAAUUUGCCAAUUCUAGACAAUAUUCCGUUGACUGUAUUUCUAUAGGUUUUAUUUGUUUGGUAAAAUAUACCAUCUACUUAGAAUUUUACUUCAUUUUGUUUAUGGUUAACGAUCAUUUUUCUAUAAUAGCUUGACUCCCAUAUUUUCUUCAUUAUGGAAAUAAUAUCAUAAUUCAUUGAUUCUAUAAAAUAUUUCAUUGAUUGUAUUUCUAUAAGUCUUCUUUUACUUGGUUUAUUUUUCUUAUGUUAUUUAAUAAUCAAUUCCUGGCGCAUUCGCCAUUUAUUCAAAAAAACUGGCAUCCACAAGACGUCACAUCACUUUCCUAGCAUUUUUUCAUUUUUUACUCUAUAAUUUUUUCCAAUUCAUUUUCCCGAGUAACUUCGACUCCAGAGCAUCAUAACUAGCCUCCCCUAAGAGGAGGAGACCUGGGUCACCCCCUAACCCUGAUGUUCGGGCAUCGAUGACCUGUGUAGCAUGCAGAGGUACCCAAGGGAGUCACCACCCUCUGGUUUACGAGCUAGGUGUUCUAACGCUAGAGGCUUCGGCCGGAUACGACCUGGCACCCAAGCUACGAGACUUCUUCGUGCACGUAUCCCGUGACGUCUCGACAGUAGAGGGGGCGGGAUAUCGGACACAUUGAAGAUGAGGAGGGGGGUCCGCCUGUAGGGGGUCCCGGUGGAUGUCCGCUCGAUGGGUGACGAGGGUGACCCGAGACGAGGCUGCUUAGCUGGGAUGGGAACUGACUGGCGAGGCUUAAUCGUCGGGCAAGGGUUAAAUCUGAUGAAGGGAGGCGAACUUAUAUGCUCUGGAGGAUUUUUUCUUUAUGUGAUUGAGUCGUAUGUUGACUAGAUAUUCGUUAGAGGUGGCUAAGUAUAAUUUUUUGUCAAUUUUCCUGUUCUUAUUGACCACAUACUUCUUUAUUUUUAAUAUCAUCUAAUAUAUUUUGCUUUAUCUUGCUUUUGGCCUACCUCGCUAUAUUUCUGUCUGCCAUAUUUUCUUUAUUUUUGGAAUAUCGUUCAUCGAUUCUAUAUAUUAUACUCUUCCAAUGACUGUCUUAUAUAUUUGUAUAUUUUCAAUGUUCACUAAUUUAUCCCCCAUUUUCAUGCCAUUUUUCAAUAAUAUCUUUCAUCCUUCUCAGAAUUUUCUAAUACAUAAUAUUUCAACAUUUCUAUUGCCUGUAUUGUAUUUUUUAUUUCUUUUGAUGCCAUUUUUUUCAAUGUACCAUAGCUCUAUUUUACUAUGUCUCCUAUAUUUAUUUCAUUGCAGGAAUGCCGUCAUACAUAUCAAUUCUAUAAACUAUUUUAUUGAUUGUAUUUCUUCUAAGUCUUCUUAUAUUUCUAUAAUUUUAUAUUUUUUUGUGUCAUUCUUCUUUGACUUUUCUAAGUUCAUCACACAUUUUCAUGCAAUUUUUUUUAUUCCACACCUCUAUUUCUUUAUUUGUCUCUCAUAUUAUCUUCAUUCUGUGAAAUAUUCUAUUAAUUUACAUCAUUUUUCAUCACACCAUACAGGGUAGUGGUUCUUAAAUAUCUUCUUUUAUUUGUAUUAUUGUUUAUAUUACUGCUAUUCUCUUCUGACUUCUUAAAUUUAAUUUCUAUUGAUGCCUACGUAGAGGUAUUCAUUUAUAUUUUUGGACUCACUGUCUAAUUAAUUUUAUUUUUAUUUCAUUUCUAAUCCGUUUUAAAAUUGAGUGGGAUAUUGUACUGCUUUGGAACAAGGAUAUUUCGGAACAGCUGCACUUCAAUUCAACCACCCGCUUCAAGAUGUCAUUAGGUUGAUCAACAUUCAACAGUUGAUUGAGAAUGAAAUUCAUCAUUGAAAAGAAAGCUAAAUAAUUUUAGAACCAAGUCUUUCCAGGGUCCAAGGGUAGCCAGAAGAUUUAUUUACCUCAGCAGAGACAUCAGUAUGUCCAUCAGCACCUUGG
This 2798-nucleotide long non-coding RNA is filed under the name Sitophilus oryzae (rice weevil). RNAcentral's name for it is "uncharacterized LOC115890205". Lineage: Eukaryota; Metazoa; Arthropoda; Insecta; Coleoptera; Curculionidae. The record is from RNAcentral.